ACGGGUGAGUAAUACCUAGGAAUCUGCCUGAUAGUGGGGGAUAACGUUCGGAAACGGACGCUAAUACCGCAUACGUCCUACGGGAGAAAGCAGGGGACCUUCGGGCCUUGCGCUAUCAGAUGAGCCUAGGUCGGAUUAGCUAGUUGGUGAGGUAAUGGCUCACCAAGGCUACGAUCCGUAACUGGUCUGAGAGGAUGAUCAGUCACACUGGAACUGAGACACGGUCCAGACUCCUACGGGAGGCAGCAGUGGGGAAUAUUGGACAAUGGGCGAAAGCCUGAUCCAGCCAUGCCGCGUGUGUGAAGAAGGUCUUCGGAUUGUAAAGCACUUUAAGUUGGGAGGAAGGGUAUUAACCUAAUACGUUAGUACUUUGACGUUACCGACAGAAUAAGCACCGGCUAACUCUGUGCCAGCAGCCGCGGUAAUACAGAGGGUGCAAGCGUUAAUCGGAAUUACUGGGCGUAAAGCGCGCGUAGGUGGUUUGUUAAGUUGAAUGUGAAAUCCCCGGGCUCAACCUGGGAACUGCAUCCAAAACUGGCAAGCUAGAGUAUGGUAGAGGGUAGUGGAAUUUCCUGUGUAGCGGU
This 584-nucleotide ribosomal RNA is filed under the name uncultured Pseudomonas sp. Its description in RNAcentral is "bacterial SSU rRNA". It matches the Rfam family "Bacterial small subunit ribosomal RNA", at positions 102 to 682 of the family's 1533-position model. Lineage: Bacteria; Pseudomonadati; Pseudomonadota; Gammaproteobacteria; Pseudomonadales; Pseudomonadaceae. The record is from RNAcentral.